AGAGCGAACGCUGGCGGCAGGCCUAACACAUGCAAGUCGAACGGAUCCUUCGGGAUUAGUGGCGGACGGGUGAGGAACACGUGGGAACGUGCCUUUUGGUUCGGAACAACUCAGGGAAACUUGAGCUAAUACCGGAUAAGCCCUUCGGGGGAAAGAUUUAUCGCCAUUAGAGCGGCCCGCGUCUGAUUAGCUUGUUGGUGAGGUAAAGGCUCACCAAGGCUACGAUCAGUAGCUGGUCUGAGAGGAUGAUCAGCCACACUGGGACUGAGACACGGCCCAGACUCCUACGGGAGGCAGCAGUGGGGAAUCUUGCGCAAUGGGCGAAAGCCUGACGCAGCCAUGCCGCGUGAAUGAUGAAGGUCUUAGGAUUGUAAAAUCCUUUCAGCGGGGACGAUAAUGACGGUACCCGCAGAAGAAGCCCCGGCUAACUCGUGCCAGCAGCCGC
Molecule: ribosomal RNA, 445 nt
Filed under: uncultured bacterium
Lineage: Bacteria
Description: SSU rRNA
Rfam family: Bacterial small subunit ribosomal RNA
Source: RNAcentral